GGCUGGUCUGAGUGCAGUGGUGUUUCAACUAAUUGAUCACAACCAGUUACAGAUUCCUUUGUUCCUUUCGCCACUUCCACUACUUCACUUGACUAGUUAAAA
Molecule: Y RNA, 102 nt
Filed under: Microcebus murinus (gray mouse lemur)
Lineage: Eukaryota; Metazoa; Chordata; Mammalia; Primates; Cheirogaleidae
Description: Y RNA (ENSMICG00000026006.3)
Rfam family: Y RNA
About the family: Y RNAs are components of the Ro ribonucleoprotein particle (Ro RNP), in association with Ro60 and La proteins. The Y RNAs and Ro60 and La proteins are well conserved, but the function of the Ro RNP is not known.
Source: RNAcentral